GUGACAGUUUUUGAUUGUCACAAAGACGGCGAAGACGACGACAACUAAGGUAAGGGAAGCAAUUAUAGAGAAAUACUAAGAGCUCUCUUACUUUGUGUCAUAAAUUACGUUUUUAUAUCGUUUAAAAUUAGUUUACAGGUAUUAUUUGGUAAUUAUGUUAGCGAGUGCAAGUUUGUAUUUCUAUUCUCAGCGAAUAACCUAAGCAGAGACCUAAGAGUUCAUGCAGUCACAAGAUCGGACUUCUCAUUUCAUGUUUUUUUAAUUAUUUUUUUUUACAUUUUAGAUUAAUACUGAACAUAUCAAAACCAUUAAUAAAGUUAACCAUUAAUAAAUAUAUAUAUAUAUAUUAAUAUACACAUACAUACGUGUAUGUAUAUGUGUGUAUAGAAAGGGAGAUAAGGAUGGACAAAGGAAGAUGGGAGGAGGGGUCACUGAACAUGUUCAACCUUUUUGUUCCAGAAUGGUACUAAGAAGCUGCUGGAAUCCAGGCCAGAAUCUUCCUGUUGCAGGCUACUGCCCCUCUACUCCUCAGACUCACCAAAAGUUGUGUCCUGGGAUUAUAACGACUCAACUGCAAGCCCAACCUCUAUUAAAAACAACAAAAUGGCUACCGUUAUUAUGGAAGAUGAGAAUGGCCAUGGAUUUUCCUUUUUUAUCCACUGUUAUCUUGUGUUCUUUGUCUCUUUAAUCUCAACAUAAAGAACAUUUUCUCAUGAUAAUGGAAAUGGUGUUUUAGCUGACCUCAAAAGGAUAUUUUUGAAAUGCCACAGCCAAUGUUGUCAACAGCAAGAUGGGGUUUUAAUGAAAAUGCUGACAGCACGCUCC
Molecule: non-coding RNA, 825 nt
Organism: Xyrichtys novacula (pearly razorfish)
Lineage: Eukaryota; Metazoa; Chordata; Actinopteri; Labriformes; Labridae
Source: the annotation of a GenBank genome assembly